CGUACGUUCUUCCUGGGCCACCUGGCCUUGCAGCUGAUCAGGAAGCCCCAGAGCCACCUGCCCAGGUCACCAGACUACCUUCCCACGAAGCACCUGUGCUGGACAGGUCACAGGGCCAGCAGACGGCUGAGAGAGCACACGGCACGGGAGGCAGCCGGAGCAUCUAAGGUAAUGGACAAUCGCUGGGCAAAGUGGGGCUGUGGCAGAAAACAGUUUUAGAAAUCUGAGGACCUAGCAGGCGGUGAAGGUUCUCAGAGGCUGUUUCUCCGAGGACCUGGAGAUCUCCUGACGCCUUUUAAGCCGACAUGUUCCGGCCGAGGAUGGGUUAGUGCUGCUCCGCAUUACUAGCUCCGCUGGGUUAAAGAGGCUCAUCACCUCCGGCUGCUCUUCUGGUUCUGUUCUUUGCACGCACUGGGAUGCAACUACCUGGACACUCCAAGCAGGGCUGGGUUCAUGGUAAUGCGACCUGUGCAUUCUCACAGGAACCCAGGCUUAGAAAGGCCCCACUCUUAGUUUAACGCUUUGCUGUUGCAAUCUUGAAUUUCUUAAUCAUUUUUAUAAAAGGGGCCUUGCAUUUUUAUUUUGCACUGGGCCUACAAGUUAGGUCGCCUGUCCCUGCUGCGAGGCUGCCUCUCAAGGUCGGCUGCAUCUGCCAUCCCCUCCUCAGGAGAGGGGGCUGCGGAUUUAAGUAAAGCCAGAAGCUCUCCUUGAAACAGAGUCGUCAUCCAAAGCUGGUGGGGGUUUUCCCGAGAUAUAUCUGGGUCUCCCAUGCAGAACUGGAAAAACAAAUAAAAGUUGCUCGCCGUGAUAAUUGGGAUCCAUUGAUUCAAAGGCCAAGACAGGCGCCACGCUAAUUAAUGGGGGAAGCGUCCUUCUUUUCCGCUCCACGUGGAUUUGGACUUCACUCUCAGAGGAAAAGUCAAGGACUUUUGAGAGAGUCGUACGCGAUAAUGCAGGAGAACUUUGCCAACUGAAAAGCAGGAGGCAAAGUGAAGCUCCAGCAACAGAAUCUACACCCUGGAGGGGCCGGCCGGAGUCGCGCUGUCGCAGCCUGCGCAGAGGAGGAGGCAGAGCCCCGUGUUUGACUCCAGAACGACUCCUGUGGGUGCAGGCUCGGCCGCGAGACAUUCGGGUGGAAAGCUGCUCAGGAUGCCUACCACGACGGAUUCUUAGGGUCUCCAAAUACCCCCUCUUGUAACCAAAAUGUCUUAGCUCAGAACGUUUUCAUGUUGUAGCUCUGCGUGUGUGCGUGUGUGUGUGUGAGUGAGAGUGUGUGUGAGUGUGCACCCACCCACUGGCUGUAUUCAGUGGAAAGAAGGCUCAUGGGCCAAAAGCCCAUUUGGGUUUGUUUGGGUGAGUAAGAAGUGACGGGAAUUCAGAGUGUACAAGAUUAUAAAUAUUACAGAGGUUAUUCAAAAUCUCA
This 1423-nucleotide long non-coding RNA is filed under the name Equus caballus (horse). RNAcentral describes it as "lncRNA (ENSECAG00000051032.1)". The record is from RNAcentral. Lineage: Eukaryota; Metazoa; Chordata; Mammalia; Perissodactyla; Equidae.